RNAcentral lists this non-coding RNA (24 nucleotides) under Arabidopsis thaliana (thale cress). Lineage: Eukaryota; Viridiplantae; Streptophyta; Magnoliopsida; Brassicales; Brassicaceae. The record is from RNAcentral.
AAUGUAGGAGACAAGAAAUAUAAA